GUGACCGUAGCUUAACCGGCAGAGCGCUAAAACGCCGUUGUUCGCCCCUUGCCCGGAUCGGGCCGAUGAAUGACGGUUAUCGACUGUUAAUCGAGAAGGUGCGGGUUCGAGUCCCGCCGGUCACG
This 125-nucleotide transfer RNA is filed under the name Polyangiaceae bacterium. Its description in RNAcentral is "tRNA-Asn". It matches the Rfam family "tRNA". Rfam says of the family: Transfer RNA (tRNA) molecules are approximately 80 nucleotides in length. The record is from RNAcentral. Lineage: Bacteria; Pseudomonadati; Myxococcota; Polyangiales; Polyangiaceae.